This 72-nucleotide transfer RNA is filed under the name Fukomys damarensis (Damara mole-rat). It matches the Rfam family "tRNA". Rfam says of the family: Transfer RNA (tRNA) molecules are approximately 80 nucleotides in length. Their secondary structure includes four short double-helical elements and three loops (D, anti-codon, and T loops). Further hydrogen bonds mediate the characteristic L-shaped molecular structure. tRNAs have two regions of fundamental functional importance: the anti-codon, which is responsible for specific mRNA codon recognition, and the 3' end, to which the tRNAs corresponding amino acid is attached (by aminoacyl-tRNA synthetases). tRNAs cope with the degeneracy of the genetic code in two manners: having more than one tRNA (with a specific anti-codon) for a particular amino acid; and 'wobble' base-pairing, i.e. permitting non-standard base-pairing at the 3rd anti-codon position. Lineage: Eukaryota; Metazoa; Chordata; Mammalia; Rodentia; Bathyergidae. The record is from Rfam by way of RNAcentral.
UGGGAUGUAGCUCAGUGGCACAGCGUGUGCCUGGUAAGCACCAGGCCCUGAGUUUGACUCCGGGUACCACAA